GUGAACGCUGGCGGUAGGCCUAACCCCUGCAAGUCGCACGGCAGCACAGUAAGAGCUUGCUCUUACGGGUGGCGAGUGGCGGACGGGUGAGGAAUACAUCGGAAUCUACUUUUUCGUGGGGGAUAACGUAGGGAAACUUACGCUAAUACCGCAUACGACCUACGGGUGAAAGCAGGGGAUCUUCGGACCUUGCGCGAUUGAAUGAGCCGAUGUCGGAUUAGCUAGUUGGCGGGGUAAAGGCCCACCAAGGCGACGAUCCGUAGCUGGUCUGAGAGGAUGAUCAGCCACACUGGAACUGAGACACGGUCCAGACUCCUACGGGAGGCAGCAGUGGGGAAUAUUGGACAAUGGGCGCAAGCCUGAUCCAGCCAUACCGCGUGGGUGAAGAAGGCCUUCGGGUUGUAAAGCCCUUUUGUUGGGAAAGAAAAGCAGCAGGUUAAUACCCCGCUGUUCUGACGGUACCCAAAGAAUAAGCACCGGCUAACUUCGUG
Molecule: ribosomal RNA, 491 nt
Filed under: uncultured bacterium
Lineage: Bacteria
Description: partial 16S ribosomal RNA
Rfam family: Bacterial small subunit ribosomal RNA
Source: RNAcentral